GGAUUAGAUACCCUAUUAUUUUAGAUGUAAAGUUAGUUGAACUGGAGUAGUAUUAGUUAUGACCUUGAAACUUAAAGAAUUUGGCGGUAUUUUAGUCUAUUUAGAGGAAUCUGUCCCUUAAUCGAUAGUCCACGUUGAACCUUACUUGAUUUAAAGUAUGUAUACCGCCGUUGUUGAAAAUCUUUUUAGAGUGAUUUUCUUGAUUUUUUAUUAGUAAAUAUUUCAGGUCAAGGUGCAGCUGAUAAUUGAGUGGAGAUGGAUUACAGUGUUAGUAGACAGACGGAUUGAGUAUUAAAAUUUAAUUGAAGGUGGAUUUAAUUGUAAAUUUGUGAAGAUUUUCAAAUUGAUAAAAGCUCUAAAAUGUGCACACAUCGCCCGUCACUCUCGUUAAUUAAAAUGAGAUAAGUC
RNAcentral lists this ribosomal RNA (408 nucleotides) under Elliptorhina chopardi. RNAcentral describes it as "partial 12S ribosomal RNA". It matches the Rfam family "Microsporidia small subunit ribosomal RNA", at positions 658 to 1270 of the family's 1311-position model. Lineage: Eukaryota; Metazoa; Arthropoda; Insecta; Blattodea; Blaberidae. The record is from RNAcentral.